This 2918-nucleotide ribosomal RNA is filed under the name Bacillus thuringiensis. Its description in RNAcentral is "bacterial LSU rRNA". It matches the Rfam family "Bacterial large subunit ribosomal RNA". The record is from RNAcentral. Lineage: Bacteria; Bacillati; Bacillota; Bacilli; Caryophanales; Bacillaceae.
UAAGUUAGAAAGGGCGCACGGUGGAUGCCUUGACACUAGGAGUCGAUGAAGGACGGGACUAACGCCGAUAUGCUUCGGGGAGCUGUAAGUAAGCUUUGAUCCGAAGAUUUCCGAAUGGGGAAACCCACUAUACGUAAUGGUAUGGUAUCCUUAUCUGAAUACAUAGGGUAAGGAAGACAGACCCAGGGAACUGAAACAUCUAAGUACCUGGAGGAAGAGAAAGCAAAUGCGAUUUCCUGAGUAGCGGCGAGCGAAACGGAACAUAGCCCAAACCAAGAGGCUUGCCUCUUGGGGUUGUAGGACAUUCUAUACGGAGUUACAAAGGAACGAGGUAGACGAAGCGACCUGGAAAGGUCCGUCGUAGAGGGUAACAACCCCGUAGUCGAAACUUCGUUCUCUCUUGAAUGUAUCCUGAGUACGGCGGAACACGUGAAAUUCCGUCGGAAUCUGGGAGGACCAUCUCCCAAGGCUAAAUACUCCCUAGUGAUCGAUAGUGAACCAGUACCGUGAGGGAAAGGUGAAAAGCACCCCGGAAGGGGAGUGAAAGAGAUCCUGAAACCGUGUGCCUACAAAUAGUCAGAGCCCGUUAACGGGUGAUGGCGUGCCUUUUGUAGAAUGAACCGGCGAGUUACGAUCCCGUGCGAGGUUAAGCUGAAGAGGCGGAGCCGCAGCGAAAGCGAGUCUGAAUAGGGCGUUUAGUACGUGGUCGUAGACCCGAAACCAGGUGAUCUACCCAUGUCCAGGGUGAAGUUCAGGUAACACUGAAUGGAGGCCCGAACCCACGCACGUUGAAAAGUGCGGGGAUGAGGUGUGGGUAGCGGAGAAAUUCCAAUCGAACCUGGAGAUAGCUGGUUCUCCCCGAAAUAGCUUUAGGGCUAGCCUUAAGUGUAAGAGUCUUGGAGGUAGAGCACUGAUUGGACUAGGGGUCCUCAUCGGAUUACCGAAUUCAGUCAAACUCCGAAUGCCAAUGACUUAUCCUUAGGAGUCAGACUGCGAGUGAUAAGAUCCGUAGUCAAAAGGGAAACAGCCCAGACCGCCAGCUAAGGUCCCAAAGUGUGUAUUAAGUGGAAAAGGAUGUGGAGUUGCUUAGACAACUAGGAUGUUGGCUUAGAAGCAGCCACCAUUUAAAGAGUGCGUAAUAGCUCACUAGUCGAGUGACUCUGCGCCGAAAAUGUACCGGGGCUAAAUACACCACCGAAGCUGCGGAUUGGUACCAAUGGUAUCAGUGGUAGGGGAGCGUUCUAAGGACAGUGAAGUCAGACCGGAAGGACUGGUGGAGUGCUUAGAAGUGAGAAUGCCGGUAUGAGUAGCGAAAGACGGGUGAGAAUCCCGUCCACCGAAUGCCUAAGGUUUCCUGAGGAAGGCUCGUCCGCUCAGGGUUAGUCAGGACCUAAGCCGAGGCCGACAGGCGUAGGCGAUGGACAACAGGUUGAUAUUCCUGUACCACCUCUUUAUCGUUUGAGCAAUGGAGGGACGCAGAAGGAUAGAAGAAGCGUGCGAUUGGUUGUGCACGUCCAAGCAGUUAGGCUGAUAAGUAGGCAAAUCCGCUUAUCGUGAAGGCUGAGCUGUGAUGGGGAAGCUCCUUAUGGAGCGAAGUCUUUGAUUCCCCGCUGCCAAGAAAAGCUUCUAGCGAGAUAAAAGGUGCCUGUACCGCAAACCGACACAGGUAGGCGAGGAGAGAAUCCUAAGGUGUGCGAGAGAACUCUGGUUAAGGAACUCGGCAAAAUGACCCCGUAACUUCGGGAGAAGGGGUGCUUUCUUAACGGAAAGCCGCAGUGAAUAGGCCCAAGCGACUGUUUAGCAAAAACACAGCUCUCUGCGAAGCCGUAAGGCGAAGUAUAGGGGGUGACACCUGCCCGGUGCUGGAAGGUUAAGGAGAGGGGUUAGCGUAAGCGAAGCUCUGAACUGAAGCCCCAGUAAACGGCGGCCGUAACUAUAACGGUCCUAAGGUAGCGAAAUUCCUUGUCGGGUAAGUUCCGACCCGCACGAAAGGUGUAACGAUUUGGGCACUGUCUCAACCAGAGACUCGGUGAAAUUAUAGUACCUGUGAAGAUGCAGGUUACCCGCGACAGGACGGAAAGACCCCGUGGAGCUUUACUGUAGCCUGAUAUUGAAUUUUGGUACAGUUUGUACAGGAUAGGCGGGAGCCUUUGAAACCGGAGCGCUAGCUUCGGUGGAGGCGCUGGUGGGAUACCGCCCUGACUGUAUUGAAAUUCUAACCUACGGGUCUUAUCGACCCGGGAGACAGUGUCAGGUGGGCAGUUUGACUGGGGCGGUCGCCUCCUAAAGUGUAACGGAGGCGCCCAAAGGUUCCCUCAGAAUGGUUGGAAAUCAUUCGUAGAGUGCAAAGGCAUAAGGGAGCUUGACUGCGAGACCUACAAGUCGAGCAGGGACGAAAGUCGGGCUUAGUGAUCCGGUGGUUCCGCAUGGAAGGGCCAUCGCUCAACGGAUAAAAGCUACCCCGGGGAUAACAGGCUUAUCUCCCCCAAGAGUCCACAUCGACGGGGAGGUUUGGCACCUCGAUGUCGGCUCAUCGCAUCCUGGGGCUGUAGUCGGUCCCAAGGGUUGGGCUGUUCGCCCAUUAAAGCGGUACGCGAGCUGGGUUCAGAACGUCGUGAGACAGUUCGGUCCCUAUCCGUCGUGGGCGUAGGAAAUUUGAGAGGAGCUGUCCUUAGUACGAGAGGACCGGGAUGGACGCACCGCUGGUGUACCAGUUGUUCUGCCAAGGGCAUAGCUGGGUAGCUAUGUGCGGAAGGGAUAAGUGCUGAAAGCAUCUAAGCAUGAAGCCCCCCUCAAGAUGAGAUUUCCCAUAGCGUAAGCUAGUAAGAUCCCUGAAAGAUGAUCAGGUUGAUAGGUUCGAGGUGGAAGCAUGGUGACAUGUGGAGCUGACGAAUACUAAUAGAUCGAGGACUUAACCA